RNAcentral lists this long non-coding RNA (1451 nucleotides) under Ficedula albicollis (Collared flycatcher). Its description in RNAcentral is "lncRNA (ENSFALG00000027163.1)". The record is from RNAcentral. Lineage: Eukaryota; Metazoa; Chordata; Aves; Passeriformes; Muscicapidae.
GGGGGGGGGGGGGGGGGGGGGGGGGGGGGGGGGGGGGGGGGGGGGGGGGGGGGGGGGGGGGGGGGGGGGGGGGGGGGGGGGGGGGGGGGGGGGACGCCGGGAGGCGCGCUGGCCCCGCCCCGCCCCGCCGCGAGCCGCCGGCGGCGGCGGCGUGAGGGGAGCGCGGGCAGCGCCACGGCCGGAGAGGCUCUUCACCGCCCGCCGGCAACAGCUUGUGAGGGACAGGGGGUAGGCGCAGGCUGCGCGUCCGUAUGGAGUCUGUCUGGGCAAUUCCCUGCGGAGAAUCACCCAAGGGGGCGGGUUAGAAGGGAACACGUUGGAUCAGCUGGUCCAACCUCCAGCGUCCAACCUCGCUGCUCGAGCAGGGUCACCCCAGAGCUCCUGGCACAGGAUUGCAUCCCCACGGUUCUGGAAUAUAUCCAGUGAGGGAGACUCCAGCAGCGUCCAACCUCGCUGCUCGAGCAGGGUCACCCCAGAGCUCCUGGCACAGGAUUGCAUCCCCACGGUUCUGGAAUAUAUCCAGUGAGGGAGACUCCAGAGUCUCUCUGGGCAAUCUGUUUCUGUGCUCAGUCACCCACGCAGUAAAGAUCUUCGUGUUCAGGUGGAGCUUCCUGUGCAUCAGUUUCUGCCAUUGCCUGGCACCACUGAGCAGAGGCUGGCUCCAUCCUCUUGACACCCUCCCUUCCGAUAUCUAGACAUCCUCUGUGGAGAAUCCUCUGGGAUGCCGGGCAGGUGCAGGCUGCAGUGCCCAGCCCUCAGGGCAGACAGGUCAGAAUCAUGCUUUGGUCUAUCCCAGUGUUAAUUUCAGCAGCUGUCCAAACACAAGGAGUGGCAGAAUUACAGAGGAGCAUUAAUCCGUACAUUUAUGCAAAUCUUUUACCCGGAGGAAAUUCCAGAGGAAACCAUCAGACCUUGCAGAGGUAUCGCUGCUGUCUGUUUAUGGAGAGUGCUGUGGCUACAGCUGCAGAACAGAACAGUUUCUCCUGUGCCUCAGUCAGUGGAACAAGGGCUUUGCUCUCAUGGAGCACAAGGUCUCAUGGAUUGCCCAGAUGCUUCCUCUUCCAUAGACACUGGGGCUGCACCAGUCAGAAACGCUUGGCAUUGUUGUCUGUAAGCACCAGGAAACACUUCUGCCUUACUCUGUGGCGCCUCACUCUUCCUCUGGCAGAGUGGCUACAGCAAUUGCAAUAGCUGGUAACAUUCCACACUACACUGCAGAACUGUAGUGUCAACAGUCAGUCCUGGGCCAAAGGCAGCACCAAAAAACAUGGAGUAAAAUUCCAUAAUGAUCUAACUAGCAGCUUGCUGCCCUCUGCACUUUUGAAAAUAACUUUGUUGAAUUUUAAAACAUUUUCUACAAAAUCAGCUUAACAGUUAAAAACACAGGUCCUGAACGGAUGGUGAGAAACUGUGAUCGAUCUGUACAGGUUUCUGUUCACUUUGAUAAAAUG